RNAcentral lists this ribosomal RNA (497 nucleotides) under uncultured bacterium. RNAcentral describes it as "partial 16S ribosomal RNA". It matches the Rfam family "Bacterial small subunit ribosomal RNA", at positions 28 to 507 of the family's 1533-position model. The record is from RNAcentral.
GAUGAACGCUGGCGGCGUGCCUAAUACAUGCAAGUCGAGCGAACAGACGAGGAGCUUGCUCCUCUGACGUUAGCGGCGGACGGGUGAGUAACACGUGGAUAACCUACCUAUAAGACUGGGAUAACUUCGGGAAACCGGAGCUAAUACCGGAUAAUAUAUUGAACCGCAUGGUUCAAUAGUGACAGACGGUUUUGCUGUCACUUAUAGAUGGAUCCGCGCCGCAUUAGCUAGUUGGUAAGGUAACGGCUUACCAAGGCAACGAUGCGUAGCCGACCUGAGAGGGUGAUCGGCCACACUGGAACUGAGACACGGUCCAGACUCCUACGGGAGGCAGCAGUAGGGAAUCUUCCGCAAUGGGCGAAAGCCUGACGGAGCAACGCCGCGUGAGUGAUGAAGGUCUUCGGAUCGUAAAGCUCUGUUAUUAGGGAAGAACAAAUGUGUAAGUAACUAUGCACGUCUUGACGGUACCUAAUCAGAAAGCCACGGCUGACUACGUG